AGUGAACGCUGGCGGUAGGCCUAAUACAUGCAAGUCGAACGGCAGCACAGUAAGAGCUCUCUCCUACGGGUGGCGAGUGGCGGACGGGUGACGAAUACAUCGCAAUCUACUUUUUCGUGGGUGAUAACGUAGGGAAACUUACGCUACUACCGCAUACGACCUACGGGUGAAAGCAGGGGAUCUUCGGACCUUGCGCGAUUCAAUGAGCCGAUGCCGGAUUAGCUAGUUGGCAGGGUAAAGGCCCACCAAGGCAACGAUCCGUAGCUGGUCUGAGAGGAUGAUCAGCCACACUGGAACUGAGACACGGUCCAGACUCCUACGGGAGGCAGCAGUGGGGAAUAUUGGACAAUGGGCGCAAGCCUGAUCCAGCCAUACCGCGUGAGUGAAGAAGGCCUUCGGGUUGUAAAGCCCUUUUGUUGGGGAAGAAAAACAGCAUGUUAAUACCCCGCUGUUCUGACGGUACCCAAAGAGUAAGCACCGGCUAACUUCGUG
Molecule: ribosomal RNA, 492 nt
Filed under: uncultured bacterium
Lineage: Bacteria
Description: partial 16S ribosomal RNA
Rfam family: Bacterial small subunit ribosomal RNA
Source: RNAcentral